CGUUAUUGAGUUUUUAAUUGGUGGUUGUAACUGUCAUGUCACAUUUAACAUCUAUUUACUACCCUUCCCCUUUGGGGUUCCAUACUGUAUUGGCCAUUAAUUAUUUCAGCAAACUCCUCUCGCCCUUCUCUGGGUACUGAGCCCUGAUGAGGAAAGCUGCUUGAGCAUCAAGGUCCCUGGUAGGAAGUAAGAUGCGUUUCUGGCUCACACCCAGGCUCCAAUCCACCUGCCUCCCACACAGCUUCCAGGUCUACCCAGUGCUCUCCAGAAAUAGUCCAUGUUACUUAACCCCAUGCAGAAAACCUUUCAAUAUGGCAUCCCUUGAAUUCUGAGACUUUCCUUCUUUCCAUUUCUCUGCCUAUUAGCCAAGCCAGGCCUUAACUCGUCACAAAGAUUCCCUUGUAAUGCCAUUAGUGGAGUGCUCUUUGAUACAAAUCCUCAAAUGGUUGGCUUCCAGAGAUCUCCGGGGACUUGGAAGGUGCCUGUGGAGACCAUUAAGAGGGAGUCAGAUCCCAUGAGACUGGAGUUACAGAUGGUUGUGAGCUGCCACAUGUGUUCUGGGAACUGAACUCAGGUCUUCAGGAAGAGCAGACAGUGCUCUUAGCCGCUGUCUCCCAGCCCCAGCAGUCCCUUCUCCUGUUCCACCUAUAACCCCAGGUGCCACUAGAAGUUGAGAAGUUUCAAGUGUCCUCGGCUAUUUUGAAUUUGGUCACAGCAGCAAGAAACAUCACAGACACAACGGCAAACUGAAGGGCUUUUUGCUCAGGCUUCUCUUUUGAGCAGAUCUCUCUGGUUGUAAAGGCUUGAACUCCAGUCCUCACUUGGACAGCAAGCACAUUACUGACUGAGCCUUGGCCUUCUACACCAGAGAUUCUGCCCGGUGGUGAGGGCUACAGAUGCCUGGGACAAGAAGAGAGCAUGUGUUAAGGUCCUGCCCUCACUCCCGCACAUGCGCAGCUCAGAGUCUUGUGUCUUACAUCAUCAGUGGGCACUGGUGACUAUGUCCCCCACCUUAAAAAGCCAGAUGUGGACCCCCACCCUCUCUCUCUGUUCUCUGCUCUCUCU
Peromyscus californicus insignis is the source of this 1065-nucleotide long non-coding RNA. RefSeq lists it as uncharacterized. The record is from RefSeq and is a predicted model, not a curated record. NCBI's taxonomy places the organism in Eukaryota, Metazoa, Chordata, Mammalia, Rodentia, Cricetidae. The transcript is spliced from 5 exons.